RNAcentral lists this long non-coding RNA (589 nucleotides) under Brassica napus (rape). RNAcentral describes it as "long non-coding RNA (BNAP_LNC009721)". The record is from RNAcentral. Lineage: Eukaryota; Viridiplantae; Streptophyta; Magnoliopsida; Brassicales; Brassicaceae.
UGAUCUCCAUCAACCACCUUGUACAAAACCGUACAAGAUAUAUAUGCCAAAAAUGUCAAUACCAAAACCAUAGCUAUCCAAGAAAACAGACCAUGGUAAUCGAAAGAAACUCCAAUGUAAAACACAAAACCAACAACACCAACCUCUCACAUCAAGGGAGAGGUUUCUUAGCCUUUAUCAAAUCCUUGAGCCAAUCUAGUGCUCCCACUGCAACAUAUAAUUGAGAUAUCAUCUCCUUAGAAACAAUUUUCACGACCAGUGAAGCACGCCUAUUUGAAAACAUCACCACUAAACUUCCGCAAAGCUAUUCCUCAAAUCAAACGUCUGAGCCCGAAACACAAGCCAAUCGGAAGGAUGAUUAACAGCCCCCACAAGCUCCAAAUCUUCUGUUGAGAAAAUAGUCUUAUCAAUAUGAUGACUACUCUCAUAACAUUCCAUUGCCUACAUGUGACUGAUUGCUUUUGCUUCGUUUAAACUUUCAGUGAAACUAAAAGCCCUUUCCAAAUAUAAAAUAGAACUUCAUCAUUGAUAACCUCUAAUAUUCCACACAGCUCCCACAAACUUUUAUCUCUUAGACCAAGAUAAACCC